UACGUAGGGAGCGAGCGUUAUCCGGAUUUAUUGGGUGUAAAGGGUGCGUAGGCGGUUUAUUAAGUCUGUUGUUUAAGUCCGAAGCUUAACUUCGGUUCGCAAUGGAAACUGAUUUACUUGAGUAUAGUAGAGGCAAGUGGAAUUUCUAGUGUAGCGGUUAAAUGCGUAGAUAUUAGAAGGAACACCAGUGGCGAAGGCGACUUGCUGGGCUAUUACUGACGCUGAGGCACGAAAGCGUGGGGAGCAAAUA
RNAcentral lists this ribosomal RNA (250 nucleotides) under uncultured prokaryote. Its description in RNAcentral is "partial 16S ribosomal RNA". It matches the Rfam family "Bacterial small subunit ribosomal RNA", at positions 524 to 774 of the family's 1533-position model. The record is from RNAcentral.